AGCAGCCGCGGUAAUUCCAGCUCCAAUAGCGUAUAUUAAAGUUGUUGCAGUUAAAAAGCUCGUAGUUGAAUUUCGGGAUCAGUGGGUCGGUCGUGCCACUGGUAUGCACUGGCCCUACUGGUUCCUCCUUCUUGAAGAACUGUAAUGCCAUUAAUUUGGUGUUGCAGGGAAACAGGACCGUUACUUUGAAAAAUUAGAGUGUUUAAAGCAGGCAAUCGCUUGAAUACAUUAGCAUGGAAUAAUGAAAUAGGACGAUCGAUCCUAUUUUGUUGGUUUCUAGGAUUGACGUAAUGAUUAAUAGGGAUAGUUGGGGGCAUUAGUAUUCAAUUGUCAGAGGUGAAAUUCUUGGAUUUAUUGAAGACUAACUACUGCGAAAGCAUUUGCCAAGGAUGUUUUCAUUAAUCAAGAACGAAAGUUAGGGGAUCGAAGACGAUCAGAUACCGUCGUAGUCUUAACCAUAA
RNAcentral lists this ribosomal RNA (461 nucleotides) under uncultured Glomus. RNAcentral describes it as "SSU rRNA". It matches the Rfam family "Eukaryotic small subunit ribosomal RNA", at positions 569 to 1035 of the family's 1831-position model. Lineage: Eukaryota; Fungi; Glomeromycota; Glomeromycetes; Glomerales; Glomeraceae. The record is from RNAcentral.